UGCCAGACUCCUACGGGAGGCAGCAGUGAGGAAUAUUGGUCAAUGGGAGAGAUCCUGAACCAGCCAAGCCGCGUGAGGGAAGACGGCCCUAUGGGUUGUAAACCUCUUUUGUCGGAGAACAAAACCCGGGACGUGUCCCGGACUGCGUGUAUCCGAAGAAAAAGCAUCGGCUAACUCCGUGCCAGCAGCCGCGGUAAUACGGAGGAUGCGAGCGUUAUCCGGAUUUAUUGGGUUUAAAGGGAGCGUAGGUGGAUUGCUAAGUCAGUUGUGAAAAUUUGCGGCUCAACCGUAAAAUUGCAGUUGAAACUGGCAGUCUUGAGUACAGUAGAGGUGGGCGGAAUUCGUGGUGUAGCGGUGAAAUGCUUAGAUAUCACGAAGAACUCCGAUUGCGAAGGCAGCUCACUGGACUGCAACUGACACUGAUGCUCGAAAGUGUGGGUAUCAAACAGGAUUAGAUACCCCGGUACG
This 468-nucleotide ribosomal RNA is filed under the name uncultured bacterium. Its description in RNAcentral is "bacterial SSU rRNA". It matches the Rfam family "Bacterial small subunit ribosomal RNA", at positions 329 to 793 of the family's 1533-position model. The record is from RNAcentral.